UGGGGAAUUUUGGACAAUGGGCGAAAGCCUGAUCCAGCAAUGCCGCGUGCAGGAUGAAGGCCUUCGGGUUGUAAACUGCUUUUGUACGGAACGAAAAGGCUCUGGCUAAUACCUGGGGCACGUGACGGUACCGUAAGAAUAAGCACCGGCUAACUCCGUGCCAGCAGCCGCGGUAAUACGGAGGGUGCAAGCGUUAAUCGGAAUUACUGGGCGUAAAGCGUGCGCAGGCGGUUUGUUAAGUCUGCUGUGAAAUCCCCGAGCUCAACUUGGGAAUUGCAGUGGAUACUGGCAAGCUGGAGUACGGUAGAGGAAGGUGGAAUUCCCGGUGUAGCAGUGAAAUGCGUAGAGAUCGGGAGGAACACCAGUGGCGAAGGCGGCCUUCUGGACCAGUACUGACGCUCAUGCACGAAAGCGUGGGGAGCAAACA
This 427-nucleotide ribosomal RNA is filed under the name uncultured bacterium. RNAcentral's name for it is "bacterial SSU rRNA". It matches the Rfam family "Bacterial small subunit ribosomal RNA", at positions 355 to 774 of the family's 1533-position model. The record is from RNAcentral.